Molecule: ribosomal RNA, 485 nt
Filed under: uncultured bacterium
Lineage: Bacteria
Description: partial 16S ribosomal RNA
Rfam family: Bacterial small subunit ribosomal RNA
Source: RNAcentral
AGUGAACGCUGGCGGCGUGCUUAACACAUGCAAGUCGAACGAGAACGGAAUAUAGCUUGCUAUAUUUGUCAGCUAAGUGGCGCACGGGUGAGUAAUGUAUAGAUAACCUGCCCUUAAGAAAGGAAUAACAGUUGGAAACGACUGCUAAUGCCCUAUAUGCCUUUAAUACAUAAGUAUGCAAGGGAAACGCUUUAGUGCUUAAGGAUGGGUCUGUCUGGUAUAAGCUUGUUGGUGAGGUAAGGGCUCACCAAGGCUAUGACGCCUAACUGGUUUGAGAGGCUGAGCAGUCACACUGGAACGGAGACACGGUCCAGACUCCUACGGGAGGCGGCCGAGGGGGAUAUUGCACAAUGGACGAAAGGCUGAUGCAGCAACGCCGCGUGGAGGAUGACACAUUUCGGUGCGUAAACUCCUUUUAUAUAGGAAGAUAAUGACGGUACUAUAUGAAUAAGCACCGGCUAACUCCGUGCCAGCAGCCGCCGUAA